This is a long non-coding RNA of Microtus oregoni (creeping vole), 512 nucleotides long. RefSeq lists it as uncharacterized. The transcript has 4 exons. NCBI's taxonomy places the organism in Eukaryota, Metazoa, Chordata, Mammalia, Rodentia, Cricetidae. The record is from RefSeq and is a predicted model, not a curated record.
CCCAGAGCUUGUGACCCAACACAGCCCCACCCUCUCUUGUACAAAUACUCCCCUGGGGAGACAGAGCCUUAGCCUUGCUGUCUCUGGCUCUGCACUCUCAGGUGUUGCGUGUGUCACUUCCUGCUCUUGCCCCAUAAAGAUGUAUCCAGGUCACCAGGGUCCUUGCCCUCCUCAUGGUCCACCACCCCCUGGUCCACCACCCCCUGGCCCAGGACACUGUCCUGUGGGACCCCACCCUCCAGGACCUGCUUGCCCACCCCAUGGUCAUGGCCCUGGACACCCUGAUCCUCACCAUCACCACGGCCCUGGGCAUCCUGGUCCUCACCAUCACCAUGGCCCCGGGCACCCUGGUCCUCAUCAUCAUCAUGGUCCACAUCACUGAGAAAUGAGAAGAUGAGAGGACACAAGAUGAGUAGACUACACUGAACCCCCAGCUGAACCAGCUCCCAGACUUAUACAGAAUUUUCCCUUCCAAAUAAACAGCCUCCUGGAGGCCAUGUUUGUGCUCCUCA